AUUCAAAUAUCUCUCCUCCAUUUUCAUGAGCAUAAAUUCUGCACAAAGUUAACAAAAAGGACUUAAUAAUAUUGGUGCAUGCAGUCGCAGUAGCUGUACACAAUUUGUCAAGAGGCAUAAGAUAUUAUGGACAAGAAGCCCUAACUGGUUUAGAAAUUAACUACGUUCAUCGCACUAGUAUUUGGAAGCAUCUUACAAGACUUGAUUUUCAAUAUUAACGUUUCUACAAGACUAAACUGUAAAAGGCCUUCCCUCAUCACUUUGGCAAGUAGGAAUGCAGGAGCAGCAGAGCCAGCCCCAUCUUAAGUUACACAAGUUGAAGAGCAGUGUGGUCUGGGCGAGAGUAGUGGUGAUUGGGUUCCAGGAGGUUCACAGGGAUAAAGUUCCGAUCGUAUGCCUGCGAAGGCACAGAUUCGUAGACAGAACCUGAAGGCAUUAGGUUUGUUUGCUGCUGCUGUGCUCUCUCAUUUUCAGCUAUCUUUGCUCUCAGGUACAUGUUGUCAUUUUGCAGCUCAAUCUCCCUUUUCUGCAUGUACUCAACUUCAGCAUAUAGCAUUUCAUUCUUUUUGGACCUAACUCUGCUGAUUCCUUUCUCCAAUCUGCCUUCCAAGCUCUUAAGUUCCUUAAAGGUCAAGGUGCUAAGUGCCUCACCCAGAAUAUGCCUAUUUAAAUUUUGAAUUUCCCGAAUUUGCCUGCGUAGUUUGGAGGAUUCUUGUUGGUAGAACUGAGUGUUAGCCUCAGAAGCAGAUGCUGGAUUUGAGGAGUCUGCACUGGCUUUCUUGUACCUAUCAAUUGUUGCUCUGACACUGUUAUUAGCAUACUCGUAGAGACGGCCUCGACUAGAAAAGACAAUGAGAGCAACUUCAGCAUCACAGAGGACAGAUAAUUCAUAGGCUUUCUUGAGCAAUCCAUUACGACGCUUGCAGAAGGUGACUUGCCUAUUAGUAGUGUUUUCGAUCCGUUUGAUUUCUAUUUUGCCCCUUCCCGUCUUUCUGAGGGAAGGGCCUUGAUCCGGUUCUUGAUUAGGAAACUCCGUGGUUGCAAGCUGGUAAAGAAACAAAGAAGGAAUGGAAAAGAAAGAAAGUAUUUCUUGAGUUCACUCUCUCUUUGCGGUUUGGCUAUAGCUCAGCAAUAGUGGAGUUGCAGAAAAUGGAAGUGGAUUGCUGUAUCAGCUAGGCAUAUAUGGACAAGAAAUAGACCCUUCAACAAAAACCCAACUCAUCACACGCACAUAGAC
This 1237-nucleotide unclassified non-coding RNA is filed under the name Hevea brasiliensis (rubber tree). Lineage: Eukaryota; Viridiplantae; Streptophyta; Magnoliopsida; Malpighiales; Euphorbiaceae. The record is from RNAcentral.